GACGAACGCUGGCGGCGUGCUUAACACAUGCAAGUCGAGCGGUAAGGCCCUUUCGGGGGUACACGAGCGGCGAACGGGUGAGUAACACGUGGGUGACCUGCCCUCAGCUCUGGGAUAAGCCUGGGAAACUGGGUCUAAUACCGGAUAUGACUCCAUGACGCAUGUUGUGGGGUGGAAAGCCUUGUGCGGCUGAGGAUGGGGCCCGCGGCCUAUCAGCUUGUUGGUGGGGGAUGGCCUACCAAGGCGACGACGGGUAGCCGGCCUGAGAGGGCGACCGGCCACACCUGGGACUGAGACACGGCCCAGACUCCUACGGGAGGCAGCAGUGGGGAAAUCUUGCGCAAUGGGCGAAAGCCUGACGCAGCGACGCCGCGUGAGGGAUGACGG
This 387-nucleotide ribosomal RNA is filed under the name uncultured bacterium. Its description in RNAcentral is "bacterial SSU rRNA". It matches the Rfam family "Bacterial small subunit ribosomal RNA", at positions 28 to 414 of the family's 1533-position model. The record is from RNAcentral.